AUGAGGCCGUUCUACACGAUGCUACUAGCCCUCGCCCUUGUGCUGCUCUGCUCAGGUAUGCCCCAUGCAUGCAUAUACACUCAUGCUUUAUUAGUUUCAACUUUCAAAUGUGGCGACGAAGGCAGUGACGGCAAAUGGCGGUGGCGCCACUGCGACUGUGACCCCCAUGGACUGCAAGGUGCUCCGACCAUUCCCGGCAUAUGCAAUCCCAAGAAGUGCAUGGAGGACUGCCAGGGCGGCAUCGGCCGUAGCUCGGUGGGCGAGUGCGUUUCCGACGGAUGCCAGUGCACGUACUGCACUAUCCCGCCUCGUGGUCGUCGGAACUGA
RNAcentral lists this ribosomal RNA (327 nucleotides) under Triticum aestivum (bread wheat). Its description in RNAcentral is "partial small subunit ribosomal RNA". Lineage: Eukaryota; Viridiplantae; Streptophyta; Magnoliopsida; Poales; Poaceae. The record is from RNAcentral.